CCUUUGGUGAUCCAGUGGUAGAAUUCUCACCUUCCUUUGCAAGAGACCCAGGUUCAAUUCCUGGCCAAUGCA
This 72-nucleotide transfer RNA is filed under the name Loxodonta africana (African savanna elephant). It matches the Rfam family "tRNA". Rfam says of the family: Transfer RNA (tRNA) molecules are approximately 80 nucleotides in length. The record is from Rfam by way of RNAcentral. Lineage: Eukaryota; Metazoa; Chordata; Mammalia; Proboscidea; Elephantidae.